UACGUAGGGUGCGAGCGUUGUCCGGAAUUACUGGGCGUAAAGAGCUCGUAGGCGGUUUGUCGCGUCGUCCGUGAAAACUUGGGGCUCAACCCCCAAGCUUGCGGGCGAUACGGGCAGACUGGAGUUCGGUAGGGGAGACUGGAAUUCCUGGUGUAGCGGUGAAAUGACGCAGAUAUCAGGAGGAACACCGGUGGCGAAGGCGGGUCUCUGGGCCGAUACUGACGCUGAGGAGCGAAAGCGUGGGGAGCGAACAGG
Molecule: ribosomal RNA, 255 nt
Filed under: uncultured bacterium
Lineage: Bacteria
Description: partial 16S ribosomal RNA
Rfam family: Bacterial small subunit ribosomal RNA
Source: RNAcentral